CCUACGGGAGGCUGCAGUAGGGAAUCUUCCACAAUGGGCGAAAGCCUGAUGGAGCAACGCCGCGUGGGUGAAGAAGGUCUUCGGAUUGUAAACCCUGUUGUUAGAGAAGAAAGUGCGUGAGAGUAACUGUUCACGUUUCGACGGUAUCUAACCAGAAAGCCACGGCUAACUACGUGCCAGCAGCCGCGGUAAUACGUAGGUGGCAAGCGUUAUCCGGAUGUAUUGGGCGUAAAGGGAACGCAGGCGGUCUUUUAAGUCUGAUGUGAAAGCCUUCGGCUUAACCGGAGUAGUGCAUUGGAAACUGGGAGACUUGAGUGCAGAAGAGGGGAGUGGAACUCCAUGUGUAGCGGUGAAAUGCGUAGAUAUAUGGAAGAACACCAGUGGCGAAAGCGGCUCUCUGGUCUGUAACUGACGCUGAGGUUCGAAAGCGUGGGUAGCAAACAGGAUUAGAUACCCCUGUAGUC
Molecule: ribosomal RNA, 464 nt
Filed under: uncultured bacterium
Lineage: Bacteria
Description: partial 16S ribosomal RNA
Rfam family: Bacterial small subunit ribosomal RNA
Source: RNAcentral